Molecule: long non-coding RNA, 43467 nt
Filed under: Capsella rubella
Lineage: Eukaryota; Viridiplantae; Streptophyta; Magnoliopsida; Brassicales; Brassicaceae
Description: long non-coding RNA (CRUB_LNC004245)
Source: RNAcentral
UUAUCAAAUAACUUAUAAUUUAUAGCAUAACAUAUAAUUAACUAUAAAUAGUUUAACUAGAUAACGAUGAAUUUAUCAAAUAAGUUAUAAUGUAUAGCAGUGACAUAUGAUUUACAUAGCUAAUCAAAUAAAUAACCACAAAUGUUAUAUAUUAUCACCUAUUUAUAUUGAUAACCUAUUCAAAGCUGGGAGAAGGACCAUCGUGACGUCACCGUGACGGAUCCCAAGCCGAUGCAUUCCGGCGGCGAUCCUUCUUGAAUAGGUUUGUACAUCGGCUUAGGUUAUGAUACGUCCGGUAAAACCGUCGAUGAGACAAAUGGAGGUGAAAUCACCAUCUUCGUCGUUGAAAUUUUUUUGAAGACGUAAUCGGUUAGAGGAAGGUGGUCAAGGAUGAAGAUAUCAUGGAGCUUAGAACGGAAAAUGAAAACAUGAGAAGGUUCUUCUUCUUCUUCUUAUUCUACUUCUUGAUCUGUCUUGUUAGUGAGAAAAUGCGUUUGUUGUUGGAUCAUCAUUUGUGUGGAGAAGGUUCUUCUUUUUGCUUUAUUUGUGAGAAAGUUUCUUUACAAAAAAAUAUGUAACGGGGAUUGAUGGAGAGAGAGAGAAGUGGAUUGUGGAGAGAGAGAAGGGAAGCGAGUGGUGGUGUGUAAAGUUUUGGUGGAUAACCUAUUUUUUUAGGUGGGAGAUAGGGUUAGAAUGGUCAGGAAAAAUGAUAGAUAAAUAACAAAACAUAGAUGACAUUUACUUAAUAAAACAGUCAGCUGAGCCCAUGAGUUACAAUUACCCUAGAAGUUUUGAUAUUUUGCAAUACAAGAGAGAAGAUACAACUUUUAUAAUUUUUGGAUAAAAAUACCCUUAUUAUUUGGAUGGGAUACUGAGUUUUUUCGUAAGCAUCACAUGCAUCAAAUAAAUACAGAGAAGUGGGUGUGACUACACUCCUAAUAUAAAUGCAUGACAUGAGUACGAGACAACGUCACAUUAUUUUUUCUUGUAACAUUGUUCUCAUAAUAUAUAACGUGAUAUGCAAAAUUAUAACAAGAUUUAUUUACAUAUAUCAUGAUGCAUAACUAUAUAUCAUAGAACGUUAUAUUAUAUUAUUGUGAGUAUUUACAAGUCUGACCUUAGAUGAUAUAAAAAUGAAUUAUUUGCAUAUACACAUACUUUGUGACAAAGUAUUCACCUUCACACUCACUUUCUACUACCUCUAUACUUUAUGUUAAGAAAAUGACUAUUCUAUCCUUUAUCAUCUUUUCUCUCUCUUUAAUUCUACUUUAUCAAAACAACAAAUUUUAUAGAGUUAUUUACACCUACACCUACUUUGUGGACAUAAGUUUGCCAAAAAACAUACUUUCAGCUAUAGGUGUACUUUCUGUCUAACUCUCAUAUUAUUGACAAUAGGACUUACACCCACUUUUGUGGAGAUUGUUAGCGCUUACACCCACUUUUUACUUGUGCUAUACUUUUGUUCACUGUUUACAAAGAGCGUGAAACUUGUUAUGACGUUUUUACCCCCAACUUAGUUAUGUAGUGUAGAUAGCUGAACGAAGAGAUGAUGAGGAGAUCCGGUGGCUAAAAUUAAAUUCUCUCAUCCUCUCUUUCUUUCUCUCCCCUAAGCUUUAGUCCUCUUUUUUCUUUUUGUUUUUUUUGUUAUUGUUAUUUUGGGUGGUUAUUAUUAAAAAUUUAUAUAUUUAUUUAUAUAUAAUAAGUUAUGAUUUUAUUUUCUUUAUAUUUUAAGAUGCAUAUUGAUAUAUUUUAUAUGAUUUAUUAUCUUAUAUACUAUCCAUCUGUAUAUGAACAUUUAUUCAUUGAUAAGUGGAUGCUCAAUUACAAUAUUGUUAAUAGAUAUUUACUUGUGCUUAGUCAUAUUGAAAACCUAUUUCAUCAAAUAAAUUGUGGUUUGUAAAUAAUAUAUACACUAAUCUGAAACAAAAAAUUAUUCAUGGUCAUUAAGUUUUAUAAAUGUUCAAAACAAUCUUAUCUAUUAUACGGUAUCCACAAACAUUUAAACUAAAACGACAAAAUUUUGUGAAUACAAUAAUUUGUUCAUCAACAUCAAUAAUGAAAUUAAUUUGUCUUCUUCCACUACAUACUCUAGUUUCUUACAACAUGAAGUUCAUUACUCUUACUAACUCAAUAGCUUCAUGUGGAUACCCAAAUCAUCUGGUUAAAAGUAAACAGAGCAAUUGCAUAGCAAAACCUUGAGUUUAAUGGAUUUUUCUUUUUCUUUCAUUGUUAAUUAGUCAUCAUUCACAAAAUCACGUUCACAUAGAUACCCGAGUCAUCUGGUUAAGAGUAAACAAAGCAAUUGCAUUGUAAAACCUUAGUUAUUUGUUUGUUAGGUUCACUUGCAUUUACUUUUGAGAUAUGGAGCUGACCAUGAAUCAGACCCUUGUCCCCUUCUUCUUGUUAGUAGGAGAUUAUGCUAUGGUAUUAUACUAUUAUUUAGCUCAAUUUGGAAAAAUUUAUGGAGACAUUUGCAGAGUUUGAUAAUACGUUUCAACGUCAUUUCAACAAUGACAAUUACAGUUUGCUGAUACGUUUAGAGAUUUGAACAACAUCGAAGAGCAAGAAACAAGGAAGCGUAAUUAGUGACUAAAUAAAACGACGAUUGGGUACGGCGUCGGCUACAACCGAUCUAGAAAACAUAAAUAAGAGACACUAGAUAUAUGAUUCUCGUGGGGUAAAGAGGAGGAUUUGGUUUUGCUAGAGUUUGAGCAGGCGGAUGAGGUAGGUUUACGUGACGGAAAGAGAGGAUUUGGUUGGCUAGAUUCUAGCGGUGGCAGAAGAACGGUUUACACGGUGGAUCUAAUAAGAUCCUCGCUGGUGGAGGAGGGAGAAUUGGUUGGGUAGGAUUUUCUCAUUUCCUCGAUUGUGGAGGAGGGAGACUAAUUAGUUGGGUAGGAUUUUCUCAGUUUUGAAGAGGAAUUAGGGAUUCAAGAGUUAAAGUUUGGGAAAAAUGGGAUUAUUUUUUUUAUUUUUUUAUACUUUUACUGAAAAUUGGUUUUAGAAUAACGAAAGGAAGGGAAAGAGUUGGAGAUAGUAAAGGAGAGAAUAGUCAUUUCCUUAACAAAAAGUAUAGAGGUAGUAGAAAGUGGGUGUGAUGGUGAAUACUUUAUGGUAAAGUAGGUGUAUAUGCUAAUAUCUCAUGAAACAUAGAGAAGCUGAGUUUGUUUGUUUUUUUUAAUCGGUUUUUCCAAGCUUUCUCUCUCUCCUUCUCUCUCACUUUUUUUAUUGUUGUCAUUUUAAGUUGUUAUAAUAAAACGUUAUCUAAUUAUUUUUAUACAAUAUGUUGUGAUUGUCUUUUUUCUUGACAUUUCAAGAUGCAUAUUGCUAUAUUUUCGAUGUAUUAUUAUAUUAUACACUAUCCAUACGAAGGUGCACAUAUGUUCGAUGAAAAGUGGAUGAUCAAUUGCAGUAUCAUUUAUGUUUAAUCUAUUUUAUUUAUAAUUACUUAUUUGUGUUUAGUCAUAUAAGAACAUAUUAAAACCUAUUUCAUGAAAGAAUUUAUGGUUUGGUAAAAAGUCAUAAAUAAGUAUCAAACAAACAUCUUAACCCCAAAACCUAAAAAUGUAUACCCUAACCUCUAAACUCUAAACAUAAAGAGAAAACAGUGGAAUAUGCACAUUAAGCUAACAAAAACUCUAAACAUAAACCAUAAAACUCAAACAUUAACCUGUAUCAAAAUUAAUUUAACUCUAAAACUAAAACCAUAAAUCAUACAUUACAUUCUAACAUCCAAACAUUUUAAUGAACAUCCAAGAAUAUCCACAAUACUGUAACCACAUGGAUAUAUAUGGUCAAUGUGUCUAGGUGAAAAGCAAAAACAAUGGAAUAUGCAAAUCAAGCUAACAAAAAAAUAUUGGAAGAUGAAAACAAACCUAGAGUGAAAGUAAAUAAAUUAUUGAAAAAGUUAUAAGGAGAGGCAUCGUCGAAGUAUGAACUUGCUUUACAAUUGCUAAAACAUAUACACACCAUGUCUAAUCACUAAAUCAUAAACCCUAAACACUAAAAUCUAAACCCUAAAACCAAUACAAUAACACUUAACCCUAAAAUCUAAGCCCUAAAAUGAAAACCCUAAAAUCUUUGCAUAUACACCUACUUUGUGACAAAGUAUUCACCUUCACACCCACUUUUUACUACCUCUAUACUUUAUGUUAAGAAAAUGACUAUUCUAUCCUUUUCAUCUUUUCUCUCUCUUUAAUUCUACUUUAUCAAAACAACAAAAUAAUUUUUUUUUCUUAUAUCUAUCAUUUUUUUCUCUCUCUUUAUCAAACUCACCAUUUUUCUUCUCCAUCAUCUUCGUCAGCUCCAAAUCUCAAAAAUAAAUGCGAGUGAACCUCACAACAUAUAUCUAAGUUUUUGCUAUAUGCAAUUGCUAUGUUUACUAUCAACUAGAUGAUUUGGGUAUCCAUAUGGACAUGAUUGUAUGGAUGAUAACUAACUAACAAUUCAAGAUCAACACAUAAAUAACAAAGUAUAUCUUUGUGGAAUGACAAUUCAAGUUCAAUAAAAAACCACUGUUUAGGAUUUUGGUUCAUGGUUUUAUGGUAUCUUUGUGGAAUGAGUCCAUUAUUCACACAUGUGACCCAUUGGUAAUGAUUAGUUUUAUACAAUAUAGAGUUUCGUGUUUAGGAUUUAGGAUUUUUGGUUUCGAGUUUUGGGUUUGGGAUUUAUGGUUACAAAUUUUUGAAAUCCAUGUGGAUAAAUUCGGUUAUUCUUUAAAGUCUUUAGUGUGAAGGAUUUAUAGUUCAAGGUUUCGUAUUUAGGGUUUUCAUUUUAGGGCUUAGAUUUUAGGGUUAAGUGUUACUGUAUUGGUUUUAGGGUUUAGAUUUUAGUAUUUAGGGUUUAUGAUUUAGUGAUUAGACAUGGUGUGUAUAUGUUUUAGCAAUUGUAAAGCAAGUUCAUACUUCGACGAUGCCUCUCCUUAUAACUUUUUCAAUAAUUUAUUUACUUUCACUCUAGGUUUGUUUUCAUCUUCCAAUAUUUUUUUGUUAGCUUGAUUUGCAUAUUCCAUUGUUUUCGCUUUUCACCUAGACACAUUGACCAUAUAUAUCCAUGUGGUUACAGUAUUGUGGAUAUUCUUGGAUGUUCAUUAAAAUGUUUGGAUGUUAGAAUGUAAUGUAUGAUUUAUGGUUUUAGUUUUAGAGUUAAAUUAAUUUUGAUAUGGGUUAAUGUUUGAGUUUUAUGGUUUAUGUUUAGAGUUUUUGUUAGCUUAAUGUGCAUAUUCCACUGUUUUCUCUUUAUGUUUAGAGUUUAGAGGUUAGGGUAUACAUUUUUAGGUUUUGGGGUUAAGAUGUUUGUUUGAUACUUAUUUAUGACUUUUUACCAAACCAUAAAUUCUUUCAUGAAAUAGGUUUUAAUAUGUUCUUAUAUGACUAAACACAAAUAAGUAAUUAUAAAUAAAAUAGAUUAAACAUAAAUGAUACUGCAAUUGAUCAUCCACUUUUCAUCGAACAUAUGUGCACCUUCGUAUGGAUAGUGUAUAAUAUAAUAAUACAUCGAAAAUAUAGAAAUAUGCAUCUUGAAAUGUCAAGAAAAAAGACAAUCACAACAUAUUGUAUAAAAAUAAUUAGAUAAUUUUUUAUUAUAACAACUUAAAAUGACAACAAUAAAAAAGUGAGAGAGAAGGAGAGAGAGAAAGCUUGGAAAAACCGAUUAAAAAAACAAACAAACUCAGCUUCUCUAUGUUUCAUUACCUAUUACUUUAGGGUCAAAAAUGUCUAAAAUUAUUGUCAAUAAUAUGAGAGUUAGACAGAAAGUACACCUAUAUCUGAAAGUAUAUUUUUUGGCAAACUUAUGUACACAAAGUAGGUGUAGGUGUAAAUAACUUUAUAAAAAUUGACCGACACAAAACAUAUUGUUUGAAGCGUACUGUGUAGUUGUGGUUUUACCCAUCUGGCCCUAUAGAAUAGCAUGCAUCGAGCAAUAAUAUGUCUAUGUAGAUCAUGUGUCACAGAGUUGUAAGAUUUCUUUAGAUUUCUUCGCCAUAAUUAUUUCGAAAUGAUUUUUUUAUAACUCUGGUAUGUUACGGAAAGCUGAAACAACGCAUAUACUGGUAAAGAGUAGCUGCAUAACCAUCCGACAUCAUAUACCACCACUCCUUGCAACCCUAAUUUUCCGCCUCUCCUUCACAAAACAUCUCAGUUUCUCACAUCGGCAAUUUGUCAUUAAUCACAUGAAAGGCAUGAUUUGUAUUGUUAGCGCACUAAUCAUGUUAUCGGAUGUGUUUUUAGAGAUAGAGAAGAUGGAGCUUCCAAAUCGGCUCAUUGCAUUUGGCGAGGAACCUCUUGGGGAGAGGGUCAAUGUAUACCACAAAGUAAAAACACUGGUCCGCAUAAAUGAAGCUCUCGAAGAGGAUGAAUUACAAAAAGUUAGGGCGUCUUCGCUGAGGAAGUUGUUUGACUUCCGUAUACAGCCAAACUGGUUUGCCACCAUUGUUCAGUUUCUUUUGGGUAAGUAGCUUGAUGUGGCCAAAUCCAACGAGAUCUGGGUUGUGUUUGCUAGGACGCCAAUUCGGUUUUUGCUGAGAGAGUUUGAACUAGUAACGGGGUUAUCGUGUGGUAGAUACCCGAGAAACCAGUAAAAGAGGACUGGGUAAUCAACAUUUUAAUGAAGAAGGUAGUGACAGAUUAAGAUUUGUGGCUUAGAUACGCCUAUCUUGCUCUUGUGGAUGGCUUUCUCCUUCCUACUUCCCAUUACCCAAAAUUUUCAAAGAAUCAUGCUGAGAUGUCCAAGAAUCUUGAAUCCUUUUUAUCUUAUACGUGGGGGAGGGUCUCGUUUGAGAUGACCAUGACAUCUAUUUAAGAGAGAGAUGUUGAACAGCUCGUAACAACGUCGGUGGCUGUUCAAGGUCUAUUUUACGCUCUCCAGCUAGUUGUUCUCCAGGCCGUCCCGACAAUUCAGGAGGGUCCUGUGCUAGACGAUAUUGUUUAUUCCGGUUCCAAAGAAGAAGAUUCCCCUCGCAGGCAGGUUUUUCACCUAAAGUCGGGGAACGCCAAGGAAGUUGAUUCGAAAUGCGAGGUAAGCUUAAUAAUCAAUUACUAGUUAGGCGAUAAAAUUAUCGGAUACAUUACCGUGUAGCAAGCAUAUUAUAAAUUAUUUGAUAUAUAAACUAUCAACUAAUUCCGUUAUCGAUGUAGGCCCAUGUGGAUCCCAUUAUUCUUUCGGAUGUUGAGUGGGAUAACAAAGUAGAAGAUUUGUCAUGGUCUGAUGAGGAAGAAGAUCCGCGAGUCAAAAAUAUGGUUUGGCUGGCGGAGGAAGGCUUUAAAUUCUCUAACUCUAUGCUCCAGGGCGGAUGCAUCCCUUAUGAGGUUGAAGUUGUUGAGAAAAAGCCCAGGAAGGGGUUAACAGUGAAAGCUACUCGCGGCAGGAAGGUGCCCAAUCAUGGUCGAAUUCCAACUGUUUCAACCUCUGUUCCUGGUUCAUCCAAUACAUCAACCUCAUCCACUCCUGGAUCCGUGGACAUAGAGACUUUAACUCUCCUUUUAAAUGCUAAGCUUGCGGGUCAUGAGGCAAGAAUUAUUGAUGGGAUGAUUUUGUGGUUCUAAAAAAACAUAGUUAUCUCUUCUGAAGAUAUUAUUGUUGAAGAGGAUUUGGUAUAAGAGCCGUCAGGGGAUGUUAAUGGUGACUUGUAAGAUAAUAACCUGGGCGGUUGCCAAAAAAAGACAAACUCUAAUGAAUUGGCCGCGGCAAAUGUUGGGGGUUCCACCUCAUAUGUGCGGCCAGAAAUAGCAGAACAUACCCAGGCGGAGGACACCCAGUUUGGAGCCCACGAUCUUAGGGGGACCACUCUCACCACUAUUGAAGAAGUCACUGCCUUCUACUACCCAGGGAGUCUAGGGAGAGUGGGGGGGGAGGGGGCGCUGAAUCUAAUUUUGAUUUGGAUAACCAUGUUAGCAGCAUAGCUCUUUUACAUUAUAACUGUGUUAGCAGAAAACGCUUUUGUUCAAAUACUAUCUAAAUUGAACAUAUUUAAUCAUUAUUUUGUCUUUCUAGGUGAGCGAUGGAGGCUAUGGCGAUGGAGACUAGGCCACCGCGCGUAACACAUCUUCUUCCUAAAGAGAUCUCGGUUGCUGGAUUGUCCAAUUUAGAGGUCGACCUGUAGUGGUUUAAAAACAUAUUACUUGCUAAAACACUUAGUUGUUAAAAUAUUAAUAAUUUUAACAUGUUGGCAAUGUUGAGAAAUAUCUAUCCCGAAUGUUUGGAUGUUUAAUUUCUGGGUGUUUAAUAUGGGUUUGUCUUUUUAACGACACGGGGUUGCAUAAUGUAGGAUGGGGAAGCUAUAUCCGAAAUCGGUGUGGAAUGUUAACUCAACAGUUAUCGACUAACGACCUUGCUAUGUUGUGACUGAGUAUUAAAUGUUUUAGUGACUAACUUACUGAUCAUCCUUUUUGCUUUGUUUUUGAAAACACAUACUUUGGACCCCAUUGGAACCAGCUAUAUAACGCCACAUAAGGUAACAUCCAAGCCCCUGGUGUAUUUAACCGCUUGUAAAUUUCGAAGACAUCAUAUAUUGGCUCCCUAUGUUUCAUCUGCAGAAACUUACAGGUGCCUUUGGAUGUUUAAUGCAUGAUUCAGUUGUCGGGCAAUCAGAUGUUGUUUCUUCGUCUACAGUGGCAAGCUCAGCGGGCGAAGGUGCUUUUCUCGCUGAUGUUGGUGGUGGUGCGGCUAUUCAUGUUGGUAGGAGAAGCAAAAGGGCCAGAACGUUUUCCACAAAGCUUGACUAUUGCUACCAUUAUGACAAGAAGACAAAGUUUCUUGUUGGUCAUCCGUCCCCCACCCUUAGCAGUUCCAAAACUCCAUGAAAAAACUUAUGAACUCAAGGUAAGGUGAUAACAGAUUUAAUGACGUAUACAUGGUGUUAUCCAAUUAUUUUUAUGUCAGCAAUUUCAAUUUAUAUGACACAUGUAAGUUAUUUUUCUCAGGUAGUUCUGGGACAAUAAGCCUAGGCGAUGAAUUUACAAUAUCCAGCGAACACGUCCUUGAAAUCAUUGAAAGGAAGAAACCUAUUGGUAACAAGGUACCAGUUUAUUUUUAGUAAUAUAAAUUGUGUUUUACUUUGAUAACAAUACUAAUUGAUAUAUAUAUAUAUAUUGUUAACAGCUUAUGUAUGCGCUGAUUAAGUUAAGUUUGCAAAUUCAGCAAAGUUCAUAUUCCCCCAGCCGCUUGUGGACGCAAUUGUUGGUAGCUCAGAUGUCGAAUGUGUCCAGCCGUUCGUUGAUGCUGAAUAUCUGGGCAUUCCAUUCAAUUCCGACAAGAAGCAUUGGGUUGCUUUCUGUGUUGAUCUAAAUGCCCAGAAAAUUGUGGUCCUCGACCCCAAUUUCAAUAUACAAAGCGAUGCCCAAGCCAAAACUGCCAUACAACCUGUAGCAUUGAUGCUCCCCUUCCUAUUCAAACAAGUUGCAGCUAAUACUGACACGACUAGAUCCAUUCCUGCUCGAAAUGAAGUAGAGAGCCCUCUCGGCAUCUCCCAGGUGAGAUCCCAAUUUGAUGAUGGGUUAAUGAUGGUAUUUUUUAUCCAUGCUCACGCUUCUAGGGGCAUGCUCGAGGUCAGGUAGUUUGACGUUGCUAGCCUUGACACUGUGCCCAGAAAGCUCGUAUCCACACUUAUUAUUUAUGGGAUUGAGUAGUAUGCUUAUUGUUGUAGACUGUUCUGGUAGUGUCGAAGAUGUAUUCCUGGCUCCACAAACAUAUCCCCAUCUUGCUAUUUGAUAUUAAUUGUUAACGGUUUUGGUUGUAGCUCACUGCUCAAAUAUUUGGAAGCGUAAUUUUAUUUUGUGGAUUGGCAAUCGGAUUACGUGUUGUAUGUGUUACUUACUAAUCACAUUUCGCACUAGAAUUAUAAUUAACUAACAAUUAACUGACCCAAAUUUCACUGAAUAUGCUUCAAAAUAGCAGUUAUAAGUCGAGAGUUUACAAAUAUAGUACCACAAUAUAUUCAAAGUUAUUAGAUGUUAUAUAAAAUAACUUGUUAUGAAAAGGUUUACCGGUAUCGGCCCCUGGCAUGUUGCUCGGUUGUAACCUAGAGUUUUGCAGCGUGUGCAACGUCUCCGCGAAGUUCGCUAUAAGUGUGUAGAAAAAAUUGCGAUGGUGUUAGAGAUAAUAAGACAUUUACCAAGUAAUAAUAAUGAUAGGAGAUAACCUUGAACUCGCCCCUUAAGAAAAUAUGUAAUUUUCUUGGUCGGCCAGGUUGUCUGCGAAUUUAUGGUGGAGCCUGUAAAAACGUGAUGCGUGCUAGAUCUACAGGCUUGUAUGACAGAUAAGUAUGGCUUAACAUGGAGGUGGAGGUCGAGUACAUAGUCAAGUAUGGCUCCAUUCGAUGGUGUUGAUCGAGUAGCAGUUCGAGUGAGAUGUUCAUUGGCUCCAGUCUUCGAUCUGGAUGUUUUUUUUUUUGGGCAAACUAAUUUGAUUAAAACUUUAAAAAAAUUACACUCCAUCGAAGGAGGAACUGAAAAUAACCACCACAAGGGCUAGCAUAGAUAAGCAUUAAGCUGCAACAAAAGCAGUAAAGAUAGUAGCAAACGAGUUACAUAACAAAGCUAUAACAUGGAGGUUCCCUUUUAGCUUUGUAGUAGUUUUCUUUGGGUUGAUGAGUGAAAGUAAGGCUUGAGAUUCCGACAACACCGUUAGAGAGGCAAAAUCCAGCUGACCGGUUGCCAAUAUGAGGGCAUUACGCAGUGCCAGUGCUUUCGCUACAAGGGCUGAGGCAACAAAAACUCUCUUCACAGAGAAAGGGUCCAUAUUGAGACAGACAGAACCUGGAAGUGUCCAUCCCAAACCUUAGAAACAAGAAGCGACAAACCAGUCUACAUCCUCAUGGCUAAUGUGAUGUGAUGAGCUUUGAGUGAAAUCUGCAGUUGGGAAUUUAAAGAGAUCGAGACAACAAAGAGGAGGAAAUAGAGCCUCCGGAGUAGUUAACGCCAAACUGCCAGUAAAACCUGAACAAAAACAAUCGUGAACAACAAUUUCCGCUUCUGCAUUAAGCAUAUCAGUUUUACAAGCAAUGCUCCAUCAAACACUACCACCAAACACAAGUGAAGUAGUUAGGAGGAUAAUAAGCUCCGUAAAGGAAGAGGAAAUCAACAACUGGAUAAGAAGUUUUGUAACGAACAAGCAGAUCUGAAGGUCCAGUGGAUCUGGUGGUUUCGGUGGAGUCGGCGGAGACGGAGGCUCUGGCGGUGGAGCACGAGGAGGCCUCAGAGCAAGGAAAACAACCGAAGACAUUGGUAAGUGGCAAGCAUGGGUCCAAAUUGACUGAAAAAAGGAAGACAUCAAGUGUGGAAAACUCCCCGGAAAACGGUUAUCUCACCAGAAACGAGAUCCACCAAGGAGAGGUUAGCAGCAAUCACCGAUCAGGAGAGGAGCUUGCCGGAGAAGCACCAUUGGAGGAAGAAUCUCAUCGUUCGAGUCAGUCUAUAAAGAACUUGUCAUGCACUCGAUCGAGUGUUCGUUGCCUUGGUCGAGUAGAGCAGUCGAGCACUUCUUCUUUUCUUCUUAAUGUUUCUAAUCCUCGUAUUUAACCCCAUAAGUGAAACCAGCUUCUUCCUUGAUCUUUAGAAGUCAUAAAAUACCUGACAACACUCCAAAUGCAAGAAUGUAUGCAAGACACAUGCAAAAUCUUUCUAAGUAUGCAAAACAUGCAAAAGAGACUCUAAAUGAUGCGAAUCAACAAGUGAACGAAGUUAACUAGAAAAUAAAUAUAUCCUUAAAAGUGAUAAAAUAUAGAGAUAUCACCUGGUUAUCUGUCUCGAACCUCAUAUUGCCUAUCGCCCAGUUUGUACACACCAAAUUCAGCUCCUUUCUCGUAGUUCUAUAUUACCAUUUUGUGAACCUUGGGUGGCAAAAUGUUUUCUUCCAGCUGGGCUGCUUCUCUCCGCAGUGCAAACUAUGUAACCAAUGUUGUACGUAUCGUCUUUUAGAUAGAAAUUCCUAGGUAGUCGCGUGCCGUACAUUAUUCAACGAUUCCGCAAUAUUGCUUGUUAACAUUGAACCGUUCACCCAUAAAGUGGGACCUUUUCCAAUGUUCAAACCCAAUCCCUGUUAGGUAAUCCGCACAAGAUGGACUCAUUUCCCUAACCUCAAGACUAAACAGCUUAGCGGCUCUGAUUUGAAGAAUCCGAUGAUUUUUUGUUUGAGAUGGACGAUGCAUGAUGCAUGGGACGACAUGGGGUAUACCUAUGUAAUACAAUGUCAGUUAGAUAUGCUAUACUGAUAAAAUAGUUACACUAUACAAUUGUGUAUAACACCUUUUACCACUUACAUAUUUGUUUCUUGUUAAAGCAAAUGUUACCUUACGGCAGAAACGUUAUCUGGUUAAGAAGUAAAUAAGUAUCCAGGACAUAUAUGUUAUAGGACUAAAAAAGAAUAUUCACCACACGCUAAUAAACUUUUUAGUAUGCUAUGAUGUUAACUUUCAUUGUCGCUUAUAAUCAAGUUCAUUUGAAUUGCAUAUUAUCAACUAACUUAUUUAUCCCGAUAACUAAUUUACACUUCUAGGCUAUACCGGUAACUUGGGUACACUAAACGUUUAAGAAUUUUGACGGUAAAGAAAAUGUUACCUAAUCAUAUAAGCCUUCUCCGUUUAAGAAUUAAAUAAGUUUUCCAAUACAAAUAUGCUAUAGGUCUAAAAAAGAAUAUCCAUAUUAUGCUAACAUGUCUAUACGAUAACCAAUAUAUUAGACAACAAUUGUGAUAACUUUCAUUAUCGCUUUUAUCACGUUUUAUUGGGUAUGUAUAUUAUCAUCUAACACACUUCGCUUUUAAUAUAAUUAUUAAGUGUACCUUUCAAAUACUUGCAUAGAUCAAGGAAUGCAUGUCUAAUACAAACACCAAUUUUGGUUCGUCGAGGACAACCGCCGUCAGUUUCUCAAGGAACCAUGUCCAAGCUGCAUCAUUUUCAUCGUUUACAAUCCCAAAAGAAAGGGGGAAAAUCUGGAAAUUUGCGUCCUGAGUUCCAUCUAUCACAACCAUCUUCCUCAUGUCUACGUACCCAUUAAUCAUUGCAGCCAGCGAGAAGAAUAGAUACUUAAAGCGGUCGACGCCGGUGCUAUCCUUCUAUGCCUCAAGUGUUACUAGUGAUCCUGGAUUUGUUUCCAAGGGAAAUUUUAAAUAAGGCUGGAUUAAGGCGUAACUCCCCAUGGCUAUCCCCAUUGCAUUGUCCAUAACUAUUUCUCUUGCUCACCAAGCUUUCCAAUUAGAAACAUUUAGGCUGAACUCUUGGCGAAGUAUCUUUCGCAGCCAUUCGGUCUUGGUCCUCAUCCCUCGUUCGCACCAGCUUGCCAAUCACAGCUGUGGAUGCCUACUUGUGGAAAUCUCCCCGAGCAUCUACGCUACACGUAUGCUGGAGCGUGGUGCUUCUGAUUUUGAAAUGGUCGCUAUCUUCCAUUUUAGUUGCAUACACGCGCCAUGGGCAAGUAUGGCUGACGCAAACAGCCAAAACCAUGGUUGGUCCAGAUUUGUUCAAAAACAAAGAGGACUGCACAAUGAAAAAUGGUGAUUCACGCCAUCAGGCGUAAAUUCCACUUCAUCAACGCUACCAACAAAGAGGUCGUCUCCCUCGUAGUCAACAUCCUUCAUAGCCCUAUUCAAGAAAUCUGCAAUUCAUGUAAAGUGGAAAAUUGAUGAAUUAGGUCGCAGACAGACAUUCAACUUUUCUAUUAUGUUUUUAUUCUGUAACUUUAUUAUCGGUAAUGAAUAAUUACCCUAUCAUGCUUAAGAUAGCAGAUAUAAUAAUUAUCAUAUAAUAUAGUUAUAUAUAUGUUUAAGACAUAAUGCUCGAGAUAGUUAAUUAUUGUUACUUGGGUUAGCAGGCAAUGUUAAUGUUACUAGUUAACAAGUUUAUCAGAUAAUAUUAUUAAUAAUAUGCUUUAAACGCGAAAACGGCUAAUUCCCCUGUGAACUAAGUUACUUUAUCGUGUACAUACACCAAACUUUUGAGUGUGCUUAUAACCACAUGAACUAAUGUAUAAUUUGAAUUUACUACAUAAACUAUAUAAAUGUGGCGAAAACCAACAAAACUAUAAACGCCGUUAAUUAAACCGUUAGUGUAGUUGGAGCUGACUAUGAUGCCACGUAGAUAGACUAAAACAACCGUGUUUUACGAAGAUGAGACUAAAACCGUAAAACGGCGUCGUUUCAUUUAACCUUUUCAAAAAACUAACCAGGACUUGAUUAUGCUUAGGAGUUAGGAAACAAAACUCAUUUUUUCUUAUAAAUGGUUCGUGGAUUCUAAGUGAAAGAACAUGGUUUAGUUUGUUCUGUAACUUCUGUUAACGAGGAGGGAGAAGAAGAAGAAUAGGUGGGUAUAUAAUAAUCUAUGUUUGGAUAUACGUCAUAAAUUCUUGUAGCAGACCUGGCUUUUUGUUGGGUUUAAUUAUGCAGAGGUAGAGGGAUCGAGUCUUUAGAUAAUUUAAUUUUAAAAAUUUUAACUUUACUAAAACGACGUCGUUUUCGGGUUUGGAUUCGUUUUUGUAAAACACAGUCGUUUUGUCUAUCUAUGUGGCAGACCAGUCAGCUAUACUAACAGUUUAAUUAAAGAUGUUUUUUAAUUUGUUGGUUUUGACCACAUUUAUAUAGUUUAUGUAGUAAAUUCAAAUUAUAAUUUAGUUCAUGUAGUUAUAAGCAUACUCGAAUGUUCUAUGUAGAUACCCGAUAAAAUAACUUAGUUUAUGGGGAAAUCGGCCGUUUUCCCUACUUAAAACUUUCUUCGCCAGGUUCAUCAAAGUAUAUGGCGGCGCACCGCGGUCAUAUAGCACUGUCGGCACUGGAGCGUCCCUGAUUUCUAACAUCUGCUCAGCGCAAACCCGCAAUCCUGAACCCUUUUCCAUAACUGUGGGGUUUCGCAGACCCCCCCCCCCGAUGUUGGUGUAUGGUUGAAGCUCUUGCCCCCCCCCCCUUGUGUGUCCCCCAUGGUGUCGACCUCGGCUACGAGAAGAGGGGCGACUACUUUGGUUCCUAAAUGGCAAAUGAUUUUGGUUAGUCGGUAACAUCAUCACACCGAUUAUAAAUAAUAGGUGGGAAUAACAAUUUAGUUGCUUGCUAAAAGGUAACUUAUCAUCAUUAAAUUUGUUUCAUCCAUACUUACCCUUAUCAUCCAUCUCACGCAAGUCCCGCGGUGUGAAUAUCAGUCCAUCUGCGUCGGUAAAAUAGUGAGACAUAAUGUCAUUUCCUACAAGAACGUAUUUUAAAGUUUUAAGAAUGCCAUGAAUAAUUAACAUAUCGCACUGACGUAUAAUCUAAAUAACAUUAAACUUACCAUUCAAAUCGAUUAACUCUUCAGAGGUGAACGAAAUUGUUGUUGUCUGUGUAGGUGGUGUGUCAUUAUACAACCUUGUUGAUGAUAACGAAAAAACAAAGUGUUGAUUGGUUGUCACCGCAAUUGGUACUGGUAGGCCUAAACGAAGACCUACGUCGACUGCACCUGCUGCAUGACACUCCUCCCCAAACUCGAGCUGUUUAGUACACCCAUUCCUCAAGCCGACGCGACCCGAUUCACAUCCUCCGUCUUGUGUUGGUGAGGGGAGAUUUCCCUCAAAAUGACAGCUGUGUAGUUUUUUGUGUCAUUCUUUGAAGUCGGCAUCUAACUCCUUCGACAGUUGUUGUUUUCCUUGCUCGGCAGCCGUAGGUCCGCUCGCUGCUAAGUUUUAAUCAACUUUUGCCUUCCCCUUGUCUACAGCUGAUAACCUAGCUCUCGGUGACGAUCUUGAAACUGCUUCUAUUAUUUUUUUUCAUCACCUUAGUAGAUGUUUGAUGCCUUACUUGGGUUUGAGACAUUACAUCUUCAACUGUCUCACGGAUCUCGAGGUGCCAUGUUAACAUUUUUAUUAACGUCGUAUUCCAGAUAGACUGUGUUUCCGCGGUAUUCCAAUAAUGAUCCGAUAUCUCCUUCGGUCAUUGGUCCUAUGUCAAGAUUACUUUGGUAGGAGUUAACAUAUUUCGAGGUUCCCGACUUGAUGACCCUAACCCCCGCCGAUGGACCUCUUCCAGAUCUGCCUUUAUGACCAUGAACAAAGCCAUAUCUUCAUCAUCCAGGAUGUCUAUCGGGUAUUCUCGUUUCCACUCAGGCCCCAUCAUCCAUUGUGGCCAUUAGUAAGUCAGCUCGAUAUCAUUGUCAUCUCUUAGACCCAUACGCUCAUGUACCACGGUAAUAACCGUAGCGAAAUUAUCAGUCUCUCAAAACCGCACAGCUAAAGUGAAGUCAUCCAUGAAUGUAACAUGCUCGUAGUUCCCAUCGGCAUCCUUUUUCCAUUCUCCCCUAACCAAACGAACGAUCAUAGUCAUAAUUCUUCCUGCAACAUGAUAUUCGUUAAAAUGAAAGUUAGCAGACAUCAAAAACAUUAUCAAAAAAACUAUUACGACGAGCACAUGACGAGCUUUGGUGCUUUUAUGUGAGAUUCCGUCAUUCAUACCUACCUGAGUAUUGCAGAUGCUUCUUCUAGGUAUUCCUUACUGAAAAUGCUCUCCUUCUUUAACUGUUUUGUGUCUUGUUGUAGAGCAACAAGUUAAGUAGCGUGUAUAAUCAUUAGAUUUCUGCUGCACUUUAGAUGUGUGUGUUAGGCGGUGCAAAAUUGGCAGACAUUUAAUGCUCUAGUUGCCCCGACAAACAGCACAGGCGAGGUGUAGGGCUUUUAUUGUAAUAUUGACAGCUACAAUUUAUAGUUGAAUUAAUUUAUUUAUCUGCAUGGCUACAGAGUUAAUUAUCUUCUCUACAAUGUAUUUACGUUUAUAUCGUACUAUUAUUAUUAUUUACGUAUGAUAUAUUAAUACAUAUCAUGAUAUAUAUUGAUAUUUCAAUAUAUAUCAUAAUAAUCAAACACUACAAGAAAACAAGGGUAUAACCGACAGAAUUAUCAACAGCAUUAAAUCCGUCGGUAAUUAUGAACGGAAAACCGAUCAAUUUUUUACGGAAACGUAUUUGUUCGUAUCCGUCAGUUUUCCGUCGGUAAUUUACCGGCGGAUCGAAAACCGUCGGUAAAAUUUUAAACUUUUUGACGGAUUACCAACGGAUAUUGGCCGUCACUAAUAAUCUGUCACUAAUCCGUCAAUAAAUAUGCAUGUUUUAAUUUCAUCAGUAAUCCGUCAGUAAUUUCUGUGGGAUUACCGACGAGUUCUUAAUUUUUCAUCGAUUUAGAGAAAAUGAAAAAAAAUCCGUCGGUAAUCUGUUAGAAAUUACCGACGGAUUACCAACGGAUUACCGAUGGUUUAUUGUAUAAACUGUAAUUUUAAAUCGUAAUAGCAAUUUUUAGAUAAAAAAUAGCUAAGGUAUUAUGUUUUAAUGAUUAAUAAGCUAAAUGGUAUAUUAAAAACCCCAAAAAUGUGUGAUCGGAAAAAAAUAAGGGUGUUUCACCAAAACUACUUAUAAUGGUUUAUUAUAUAUUUUGAACUAGUAUUUGUUAAUUUGUUUCUCAAAAUAUGUUUUCUCAUAAAUUGUAACAAUAAUAUGUGUUUUAACACUACACACUCUUUUUAAUGUAAAAUAGGGAUCAUAUAUACAUUAUUCCAUUAGAAAUCAUAAAAAAUAGGGUUUAUACCCUAAACAUACCCUAAACAUACUCUAUGCUGUCGGUAAUCCGUUGGAAAUUACCGACGGAUUACUGACGGACUUUGAUAUUUAUUCGUAAAUAAUAAACGCUGAAAUUUAAGUAAUAAUAUUUUGAGAUCCGUCGGUUAUCCGUCAGAAAUUACCGACGGACUCUGAAACUACUUAUGGUGUAAGUUCUCCACUUUCACUUCUAAUUUUCUAAGUUUUGUAAGAUUUUUAGAAUGAGAAAUUAGAUUUGUUAGAAUAUGAUAUGGGUUAGUUUCUAUGUUAGAAAUGGUUAGGUUUUUGGAAUGGAAAUUGUUCAAUUUUGAUAAUUAAAAUUGUUAUAUAUUUAGAAUUGAAAUGGUUAGAUUUGUGUUAAAUCAUGUGUGAGAUUUGUAUUAGGUUAAUAUUUAUGUAAUUUAUUGUAUUAGGAUUUGUUGUUUGUGUUAGAUUAUAUAGUUUGUGUUUGAAAAUGGUUUUUAAUUUUGUUGGCUUGUUAGUUGAUUUUUUUAUUGUUAAGUAUGUAAAAUGAAUUUUGGUAGUUUAAUUUGAUUUAAUGAAUUUAAAAUUAUUAAUGAAAAUAAGCAUAAAUGAAUUUAAGAAAGAUUUAGCAUUUGUUUUAGGAACAAUGUUAAUUACGUUGAUUAUUCGUUAUUGAUUAGAAUUUUGUAAUUUACGGUUUUAAAAAACUUUCUUUGUUUUUUUUUUUGUUUUAAAUAAAUUCAGUAAUAUUCAGUGUUGCAUAUUAAUGAAAUUUUAACAAAUAAUUGUAAUACUAAUUUUAGAAAAUUCUCAAUUAUUUUAAUUUUUUAUUUUUUUUUAUAAAAAAAAAAUCAAAUCCGUCGGUAAUGACGGAGAUUUUACUGACGGAUUACCAACGGAAUACUAAAAUAGUUAUCUGUCAGUAAUCCAUGAGUGAAUUGCCCGUCGGAAAUCCGUCAAUAAUUACCGAUGAUUUACUGACGGAUAUUUUUUAACGACGCUCUAGAACUGACGGACAUAUCCGUCGGUAAUCCGUUGAUUAUAGUUGUUUCUGACGGAUUACAGACGGAUUUUCCCCUCGGUUCUAGGCUGUUUUCGUGUAGUGGUAUAUAUAUCAUGAUACAUAUAUAUAUAUAUAUAUAUAAGAUAGCAUAACAUAUAUAUGUUCAAAAAUCGUGAUAUAUACAAUAUAUAUUAUAAUUAUAUGUAUAUAUAUAUAUAUAUUAUAUGUCAGGAUUCAUAAAUAGACAUUAUGAUAUAUUGAUAUCUAACCGUAGUGGUGAUAAAAAGGAGAUAGGAGAAUCUUGGUGGUGGCAAGGGUGGAGAUUAUGGUGGAUGUGGAGGGCGAGUGAAGUAUUUUGGUGACAGUAUAUAAGUGACAGAGGAGAUGAUAGUGAUAUGUUGGAGGUAAAUUAGGAGGUGGUGAUGGAAAAGAUAAUACGUUGGUGAGGUAGAAUUAGAAUAAUGUGAAGAAGAAUGGAUGUGAGACAUAUAUGCUUAACUAUCACUAAUCGAUGAUAGCAUCGAGAUUUGGUGGUGUCCCAAAUAAUCUCUGACAUAUGUUUAGUGGUAGUAUGGCCGACACCGAUUCACCAAACCUAAAAAUUAUGUAAGGUUGAAUGAAUGGACGACGACUUUUACUAUAAAAAAAAUAUAUAUAAGGUUGAGUGAAUGCAUUUUGGUCAUAAAAAUUUGACUAAUUUUAUGAAUUCAAAAUUUAUAAUUUAAGUUGUAAUAAAUUUAAUAAAUUAGAAGGAUAGUUUGUGUUGGGGGCUGUUAUUAAGUAAAGAAGAAAAAAAUGAAAGGAAAAAAACGAUAGGGAGACAGAGAAAACGAAAGCAAAAGAAGAAAUAAAAAAAGUAUGGUCUUAAGAGUAACCAACACAGCUACAACCAAUAGGGAUAAUAUGGUCAAUUUUCGCGUGGUUCGUAUGUCCAUUUAUUUAUGAAAAUAGCUCCACUCGUUUGACUUAAUUAUUUUAAAGUCGUCUGGUAUAGGAAUGAGAAAAAAAAAUAUUUAGUAUAACAGUAGUAAAAAAUACAUUAAAAAUGACAAUUAUUUCCAUUCAUAUAUUAAAUAUGCAAAAAAAAAUUAUUUAAAGCUUUGGAAUGAAUUUUCUGUAUACGGUAAUUCUAAAAAAACCGAUAAACUGAUUAUUUUAAUAAAAUAGACAAAAUGAUUUUUUCAAUGAAAUAGAAAAAAAAAAUUUUAUUUUACUACAAAUAAUUAAUUCAUUAUUAUAAGAAAAAAUAAUUGAAUUUCUGUGAAAAUUUUGUUAUUGAAAAAUUUAAAAUGAAUUUUCUGUGUUUCGUGAUUCAUAAAAAUUAACAGAUCAGCUGAUUCCGUUAAUAAAACUAAUAAACAGAUUUAGUCUACCAAACAAAAGAUAAACAGAUUUUCUCGAUAAAAUAGAAAAACUAUUUAUUUUUUUACUAUAAAUAAAGACUUCGCGAUAACAAAAUUUUAGUAUGACUUAAAUUCAAUAAUACUAUAUUUGAAAAUAAGUGGAUUGUACUAUAUUUCAAUAAUUUUAAAUAAUACUAUAUUUUAAAUUCAAUAAAGGGAAUUUUAAAAAUACCCCCUUUCCAAUACCACUUUCUAAAAAUACCCCUCUUUCUAAUUUUAUUAAAAAGUCACUAUAAAAUUUGAAAGUUAUCGAAAAAUGUGUUAGCUUAUAUUUAUGUCAUAAUUAACUAGAUUGACACAAAUUUGGCAAAAAAUAACUGAAUUAACCCUCUAUCAUUGGUCAUUACUAGAAUGACACAAUAUUUAUGUAAAAAGUCCAAAAAACCUAAACCUUAAAAAUGGCAAGUAAUAGAAAAAGUCUGUCACACAAAUACUAAAUCUGUUGUAAUAAGAUCAACAAAUCUAUUAUAUAUUAAAAAGAAUAUAGAAAUAAAAAAUAUAUUUAAAAAUGCACAAUAUAGAAAUAAUAAAAAUAUAAGUUUUCUUUGUAUUUUUAUAAAUAUCUAAAAAUCUGAAUAAAAAGUUUGUUCUAAUAAUAAAUAAAAUAAAAAUUAUACCAAACCAUACUCAAACUCAAAUUAUACCAAACUAUACUCAAAGUUUGUCAAUUUCAGAGAAAAAGAAGAAAAAAAUUAUACCAAACUAUUAUCUUAUUGUUCUUUCAUAUGUUCAGUAGGCGUUCCCUUGGCUAAGAACUUUACCCUUAGUUGAGUUUCACUUUCUCCAUAAACAUAGUCAAUGGACUGUUUAGGAUACUAUUUGGUUGGUGCAUCUGGUAGGAACUCGUAUACUAUCUUUAUGUAGGUAAGUCUCUACUGUUUACUAGGUUUUGUGUAGUAACAAAAAUAUUUACAAUAUAUGGUCCAAUGAUUUUUGUAAUAGUUAAGUGUAGUGAUGAGUUGUGUUUAAAUUCACGGAUCUCCAACUUAAACGACAGACUUUUACAAAAACCGCUGGAUAUUUUGUAAAGGGUAAUGUUGACUUUUUUUACUAACAAAGCAAAAAGGGUAUUUUUGUAAUGAAAAGUACUCAUCUAACCCAAAUAUUUUAUAAGUUAGUCUAGUAAUUAAUCUCUUCAUUUGUGUCAAUCUAGUUUUUUUCCUAUAUUUAUAGAAAAAAAUUAUCUUUAUAUGUAUGUAAAUUUAUAUAUAUAUUUCAUAAAUACCUUAUAAAUACAUUUUAAAAGCCUUAUAAAAACUUUGUAACCUUUUUAAAAACCUUAUAAAAACCUUAUAAAUGCUGUUUAGAACCUUUUAAAACCUUAUAAAUAUUUGGAUUUAGUUUUCCAGUAGUAUUAAUGAUCUUGAUGUACCUUAUCAGCCAUAUAAAAGUUUAUAAAUUUUCAUAUUUGGAAAAGAGUAUUUUUGAAAAUGGAUAGAAAAGAGGGGUGUUUCUGAAAUGGAUUAUUAUCUAUAAUGCCAGUUUUUGAUCCAAUAUAAUCGAACAUGCUAGUUUCUUAUUGGGUUUCUAAUGAGUGCCACAUACAAUAAAAAGCAUGUGGCUGAAUGGACAAAUAUACCCUCAGUCAAAAGGAGAGGAUUUUGCACAAUUUUCAAAAAAUGAAGAAGAUGGGACAUUUUUUUUGCGUCAGCUACAGGGGCAUUAAUUGGUGACAAGUUAAGCUAUUACCCAAAGGACAAUUCAUUUAGAUUGGGUUUAGAAAGCAAAUUCGUCUAUUGUCCACUGAUGUCAUCCAUUGAUGUUGUCCAUUGCUGUUGUCUAUUGCGAUUUUCAAAAAAAUGAAGGAGAUGGGACAUUUUUUUGCGGCUACAUGGGCAUUAAUUGGUGAAAAGGUUUGCUAUAUACGUAUGAUGGACAACAAAUUAGGAAACAAAAAAUGAUUUAUUACAGACAUCAGAUUUCGUCCACCGGAUCUAGUCCACUGGAUCUAGUCUACCGAAUUUAGUCCACCAGAUCUAGUGGAUCUAUACACAAAUGUGAGAUCCAAAGUGUAAACCUUGAUGGAUCAUAAUGAUAUCUUCCAUAGAUGCACUACUUGUUUCAUACUCUGGUCAUUCACUUGUGGUUUCAAGAGAUUUGUAUGAUGGACAAGUUUGGUCCAUCGGUUUUAGUUCACCAGAUCUGGUUCAUUGAAAGACAAAAACAAAAUAUGGGUGGAAAAUUUAUUUGGUCACCAACGUGAACCACAUACCUACCUAGAGUGAAAGCAUCGUUGUUUAUUGUUGUAGUCAAAACAGUUUCUUCCUCCAAGCCUUUGGUCAUCCAUUAGAUAUUGUCAUUGGUGAGAGAUAUUGAGGGAAAAAUAAAUUGUUGACAUGAACGAAAUGUUUGGAGAGAGAAAGAAUGUUUGUUUGGAGAGAGAGAGCUGGAGGUAUAAGAAGAAAGAGAAACCAAAAUUUGAACAUUUAUUUUAUUGAUCUUUUAUGUGUGAAUUGAAUAAGGGUAUAAUAGUCUUUUACGAAGAAGGUUGUGGCAGGCGGGGGAAGAGAUUUGGGAAACUGGCAUUAGCCAAAAAGAUGAACACAGUUCAUGGCAAUGCUCAUAAUUUUCUCUUUUUAAAAAGGGGUAGACCAAAAGGGGCAUUUCUAAAAAAUUAUCUUUAAAAUUUAAAAUUUAUAUUUAUGUUAAUUAUUCUUAAACAACAUAAAAUUAUAUGUAAAACGAUAAAAAUAAAAUGUAAGACUAACGGUUACGAUUUUCUCUCCAGCGAUUUUUCAAGCGAUCAACACAACUUCUCUAUUUUCACCGUUUCCGGCCGGCGUCGGCUGUUGUCAUCAAUUUUAUUCUAUUUUUACUUCUUUUACUUUCUACAAGUUCUAGGUGAGAGAUCAACACCGGUAAAUGUUUUCAAUUGUUUCAUUGUCUUUAUGUUCUUUCGUGAGAGUCUCCUCUCUACCAUAAUCCAGCGAAGGUUUCAGAACAGUACCGUCAUCUCCCCAACCGGAUUCCUUUAGGGGAUAACUGAAAAAUUAAGUUUAUUUAAAAUAAGAAUAAUGGUGAACAGGUCGCAAAUUUUUUGGUGAUCGCCAAUUUAACAUUACUAACUUUUAUAGCAAGUUUUUGAUAAGUGUCUGUUUUCGCAAAAAAAAAAUUGUUAACUAAAUUUUUCUAGAAAAGCUUUAGAUAUCAUUUUCUUAUGAUAAAUAUUUUUUUUUAUUUUUUUUUUAAAUAUAGACAGGCCCCCAAAACUAGUUCUCUAUAAUAUUUAAAUUAUAUACAUAUUUCUUUAUCUGUAAUAAUAAAUUGUGUUACAACUUACAAGUAGGUUCACAAAUAAAAAUAUUUGUUACACGAAUUUAGCCACACACGUGUUAUACAUAUAAACAAAACUAAAAGGGUAGACGUAUGGGGGGUUAUUGGAUUAUUGAUUUUGAUGGAUUUGAAAAUCCAAACAAAAAUCAUGUGUUAUUCAAUCAUUGAUUUUAAAAUAACUAUCAAAAUCCUAUGUUAUUGGUUGUAUGAUUUAUAAAUACUAGUUAAAAUUCUAUGUUAUUCGUUUAAUGAUCUGUUUUUAGAUUUUAAAAUCUGCAGUAUGUUUUAAAUGGAUUUGAAAGGAAUUGAUAGUGUAAAAUAGAAGGAUUCAAAAUCCAAGCAUAAAACAUGUUAUUUCAAAAUCCAUGUAUUUUUAUUUUAUAAAUAAUAAGAAUUCACAAAUACUAUGUGGAUUUACAAAUCAAUAAACCAAUAACGAAUAGAACCAAAAGAAAGAUGGAGACGGUUUUAGUGUCCACACAUGAUACAUGUCCCAUCCAAUACUUUUGUAAAUAUUUCCAAAACAGUGCAUCCAAAAGCCCAAGUGUUACAAGCUUAAUCAACAACCGAUUGUAUAAACUCCAGGACAUGUAUCGCGUUGUGCCUAUCGUAUGACCUGAUCCGUUUCCAUACUUGCUUGACCCUUCCUCGAGUGCUAAACAAUAAUCCGCAAUCUCUGCCUCAUACUCGCUAGGUCUUAUCCGCUUCUCGAUAGGGGCUAGUAAGAUAUUAUCCAGUUUAAGGUCACAGUGACUAAUCUUUUGCCUAAUGGAUGUAGUCAAAACCUUUGAGGAUAUCUUUAGAGAACACUUCAAAGUCUCCCAAAAUCACUUUUAUGGUUUUUCAAAAAACAAAAGUUAUGUUUUGACUAACAGUGGAUUUGAUAUGAUUUUUACAAAUUGUUGAUUGAAUAACAGGGCUUGUGAGUAACUUUGAAGGAUUUUUUUAUGAAUGUCAUAUUCAAUAACACUGGAUUUGAGAUGCGAUUUAAAAAUGCAUAGUUGAAUAACAGAGAAUUUUGAAAAAGAACCAAAAUCCUCUAAAAUUCUAUUUUCAAUACACCCCCCUAAAUUUAUUUGAAACCAAAAAUAUUAUUAUUCUCUUUUCAUGAACUUUGAUUAUAUUAUGCUAUUUUAUUUACGUAACAUUUUACAUAUAUUUUUAAUAUAAAAAGUAAAUUACCAAAAAAGUAAGCAAAAAUUAAAGAAAAUAUAAGUACAAUAUUUUAUGUAUGUGUUUUUAUAAUAAAUAAACAGACCUUCAUAUGUCAUAUCGUCUGUUUUUAUUGUUAAGUUAGCAUUUUGUUAGUUCAUUUAAAAGGUUUUUUAUAUCUUCCUUUCAAACAUUUAAUACAUUACAUAAUACUCUGUUUUUUUGGACAAAUACAUAAUACUCUGUUAUGUAAAUAAAAUACUAAGAAGUAUGAAAAUAGAUUUAUAUUUAAUAAUGUAAAAGUUUUUUCUUUACUUUUUUCCGAAAAAGAAUAAUUGUUUUCUAUGUUUCUAAAAUAAAUCCUUUGUGAGUUUUUUAACUAUUAACUUAUUGAAACUAGUAGACUAUAUAUAGGUUUUGAUAUGAGGUAUUUGAAAAGAUCCGACCCAUUUUUUUUUUUAAUGAACACAUUUAACAGUGUUUAUGAUUACAUUAGUGUUGUUGAUACUUUUAAAGACACGUUAGGAGGAAAAUAUGAAAAAGGGAAAGUUUGUGUGCUUUAAAAAAAAGUUGAAAAUAGUGUAAAUAUUUUUCUGGCAACAAAAAGAUCGUUUUCUGAUAAAUAUCAAAACAUAAUAAAAAAUUAUUAUAACUUUUAUUGAUAGUAUAAAAAUUAUAAUUAAAAAUGUAUAAUGACACUCUUUAUGAAACAAGAAUAAAAUUUUAAAAUGAAAUUUUUUGUAAAACAGAGGGAGUAUAGACCGUUCCUAAAAGUUGAUUUUUCUAGAAAGGCCCUGUUCGUUUGGUCAUCUAGACGCAGUUGCCAGACGCAGUUAUAAGUUUUUGUUCGUUUUGUUCAAACUAAAAAACGCGUCUAGAUGCAAUAUCUAGAUGCAAAAUAAAACUCAUCCAAAAAAAUUGGAUAUUUUGGAUGAGUUUAAAAGAUGAGUUUGGACGCACCAAAGUGCGUCUCAAAUUACAGAAGUCUAAAAUACCCUCAUCAACUAUAACCUUAAUUACUUUUUAUCUACUAUUUUUUUUUUUUGUAAAAUUCUUAAAUAUAUUAUUUUUAAUAAAAAUAAAAAAACAUUUUUUUACAAAAACCGCAAAAUCUCGAUUUUCCGCCAAACCAGCAAAAUCUCGUUUUCCCGCCAAAACCGUAAAAUCUCGUUUUCCCGCCAAAACAGUAAAAUCUCGUUUUCCCACCAAACCCGUAAAAUCUCGAUUUCCCGCCAAAACCCGCAAAAUCUUGUUUUCCGGCCAAAAUCCACAAAAUCUCGUUUUCCCGCUAAAACCUGAUUUUCCGCCAAAACCGCAAACUUUUAUUUUCUCGCCAAACCGAAAAAACAUCUGAAAGUUCAAAAAUAUUUUUUAUUGUGCAUUUUAAAAUUUUUAAAAAUUUAAUAUGAUAAUUAUAUAGUUAUAAACAUAAUUAAAAUUAUGAAAACAUGUGUAACACAAAACAAAGGGCAUUUUGGUCAUUUCGUAUGUAUUGUAUCUAGAUACAAAUACCAAAAUACAAAACGAACAUAACUACGUCUAAAUACAAUUUCUGGACACAUGAUUCAAAAACUGAAACAAACAUCAUUUGGAUAUUACGUUCAGAUACCGCGUUCAGAUACGAUAUCUUGAUAACUCAUCUAGUUUACCAAACGAACAUGCACAAAAUAAAAUUCGUUUCUAAAAGAUAGUUAUUUUAAGUUAUCAAUGUAUAAUGGUAAGAUCCGACUGUGGUAAUAGGGUUUUGGUCCAAAUUUGUUUGCUUUGGUUGAAUAAUUGGAGCCGCCGAAGGAGAAGCAAAGUAGUGCCUUUUGCAAAUGCUCCUGGACGGGACUCGCUGUUGUCGUUAGUCAAACCAAGAUCCAACCUUAUCGCCGGAAAAUUUUCUGAUUUGCUUUCCCUUUGUAAACCGUUGAGCUUUGAAGCCAUCUUGUAUUUGCCCAUUGGGGUUUAAUAAAUAAAAACUCUGAAAAAAAAUUCCGAUUUAAAAAUUUGAAAGUAAAUAACUAAAUAAUAUUGGUUUAGAAUUCUAAGAAAAUGUGAAUCACAAAGAUGAUGCAGUUAUCAUUAAUUUUUAGAUGUUUUUUUAAUAUGUGUGAAAAACUUAGAAAAAAUAUCUCUUAGGAAAAGAAAGAGUAAUAAAUAUGUAAUUAAAAAAUUACUAAAAAAAUUGACAGUCAACCAAAUCCUCAACAUUUAAGGAAAAGUUAAAAGUACUCAUCCAUUAUAAAGGAUUGCAAUUAAGUGAUUUAUCUCUUUAAAUAAUUUAAGCAGCUUUUCUGCUGUCAAAGUUUCCAUCAAAGAAUAAUUCAAUUUUGGCUCAAAAUCUUCAUAUUGUCCCCAAGAGAACUUAUCAAACAUAAAAAUAAAUAACAAUAAUAAUAAAAAAACUCAAAAAAACUCAACAAUUAUCACUUCUCAUCCACAUACAUAACUGAUGAUGUCAUAAACCAAAAGAAACAAAAGAUCCAUAUAACUUUCACCCAAAGCUUGACGUGGAUAGAGUCCAAGACCCCCUCAACCAAGUAAACAAACAUCUCGUGACUUGUGAGAGUUCCAACAUAAGAUUUUCUACCUGAUUUUUUUCCAAAUUUCGAAUUCUCUAAAAUCUUUUUUGAAAGUUUCUUAAGCUCUAAGAAUUAAUUAUGUUACACGUAGGUUCACAAAUAAAAAUAUUGUUACUCGAAUUUAGCCAUGUACACUUAUAUAUAUAAUACAUAAAAAUAAAAAUAAAGGUAACGUGUAAACAUAGAAUAGAGAAAAAAAAAAUGGAGAUAUGGUUACUCAUCUUGGCCUCUCUCUCCAUAUCUCUUCUUAUCAAUCUCCUCCUUCGCCGCCGUGACUCCUCCUCUCUUCCAUUACCACCUGACCCUAACUUCUUCCCUUUUCUUGGAACCCUCCGAUGGGUUCGACAAGGCUUAGGUGGUCUCAACAUCUAUCUCCGCUCCGUCCACAACCGUCUAGGUCCGAUCAUCACUCUCCGUAUCACUUCCCGUCCCGCCAUCUUCGUCGCCGAUCGUUCUCUCGCUCAUGAGGCUCUUAUUUUAAACGGCGCCGUUUUCGCAGACCGUCCACCGGCUGCUCCGGUCAGUAAGAUUGUUUCUAGUAACCAACAUAACAUCAGUUCUUGUCGGUAUGGAGCCACGUGGCGGCUUCUUCGUAGGAACCUCACUUCUGAGAUUCUUCACCCGUCGCGCGUGGGAUGUUAUUCUCACGCGCGGAGUUGGGUUCUUGAGAUCUUGUUUGAUCGGUUUCGUAAGAACAGAGGUGAAGAGCCUGUCGUUGUUGUUGAUCAUCUUCACUAUGCUAUGUUUGCUCUUCUUGUUCUUAUGUGUUUUGGAGAUAAGCUUGAUGAGAAGCAAAUCAAAGAAGUGGAGUAUGUUCAGAGAAGACAGCUUCUUGGCUUUAGUAGAUUCAACGUUCUUAACAUCUGGCCUAAGUUAACUAAACUGAUUUGUCGAAAGAGAUGGGAAGAGUUUUUUCAGAUGAGGAAAGAACAGCAUGAAGUUUUGCUUCCGUUGAUUCGUGCUCGGAGAAAGAUUGUUGAAGAGAGGAAGAAGAGAUCAUUAGAAGAAGACAAGAAAGAGUAUGUACAAUCAUAUGUUGAUACUUUGCUCGAUGUGGAGCUUCCUGAUGAGAAGAGGAAGUUAAACGAAGACGAGAUUGUGAGUUUGUGCUCUGAGUUUCUCAACGCAGGGACUGAUACAACAGCCACGGCGUUGCAAUGGAUCAUGGCCAACCUAGUGAAGAACCCUGAUAUCCAGAAGAGAUUACACGAGGAGAUCACAAGUGUAGUUGGGGAAGAAGCAAAGGAAGUGGAGGAAGAAGACGCUCAGAAGAUGCCUUAUCUCAAGGCGGUGGUGCUGGAGGGUCUCCGGAGGCAUCCUCCAGGACAUUUUGUGUUGCCUCACAGUGUCACGGAAGACACUGUAUUGGGAGGGUACAAGGUACCAAAGAAGGGGACGAUUAACUUCAUGGUGGCAGAGAUAGGUAGGGAUCCAAAGGUGUGGGAGGAACCAAUGGAGUUCAAGCCAGAGAGGUUUAUUGGGGAAGAAGAAUCAGUGGACAUAACUGGAAGCAGAGGGAUAAAGAUGAUGCCGUUUGGAGCUGGAAGGAGGAUAUGUCCAGGGAUUGGGCUAGCAAUGUUACAUCUUGAGUAUUAUGUAGCCAAUAUGGUGAGGGAGUUUGAGUGGAAAGAAGUCCAAGGUCAUGAGGUUGACUUGACCGAGAAGCUUGAGUUUACUGUUGUCAUGAAACAUCCUCUUAAGGCUCUUGCUGUGCCUAGGAGAAGUUACUAGUCUUCUACUUGGCUUUGUUGGUUUAGUAGUAUAGUAUACAACAAAGACUAGGUUAUAUUUGAUGUUAUGUGCAUUUUGUUGGUGAAGUGUACAAUGGAACCAAAUCUUUAACAAAGUACAUUUUGUACGUUGGAAUAAAUGAUAUGAACAAACGAUGCUUUUAUAUUCCUCUUUGUAUGCCUAGUGUUUUUGUGUCAGGUGGGGCUAGAAAAGUAGGAUUUCUAGUGUUUAAUGUUGUAUCAUAUCAUUCGUAUGUGACUUUUUGAUGAUGGGCGUACUUUUGUUGAGAAAUUAGAUCCAUUGUGUAUCCAUCUUCUGCAAACAUACUAGUAUGGUAUGUGCCAAAGAAAUAACAUAUAGCAUCCACAACAAAAAAAAACAUAGAGACAUGAUCUAGUUUUAGCUAUUAUGAUGCUAGUUUCUGUUUCAUGUUUUAUUUCCACCUGGGCAUUUCCAUGGGAUACCUGUAUGUGUCAUGUCAUGUCAUCUCAGGGCUAAGCUUAUUGUAUUUGAUCUUCUCUGUAACUUCUGUAAUAUUAUUUUAGAGAAAGAACUAACACUAAGAAUGCACAUAUGAAGGUCUCCAGGUACGUUAACAUAACUUGUUCUUGUUAGCAGCUCAGAGUCCUUAGAGAAAGAACUAAGAGCAUCUCCAUUCGUGUAACCCUCAGAAAAAUGUUUAACAUUAAUUAAUUAAUAAAUAUUGAUUGAAUGGGCAACGUGAUUGAAUGGGAGAGUGAAGAGGCAACGUGAGAGAAAGAGAAAGAGAGAGGAAAAAAGAAUGAUAAUUUUUUCUUUUCUACAAAAUAUAUUUUUCACCCAAUCAAGAAAUGCCAGCUGUGUUAAGCAUCGAUCCUUGGAGAGCUUGGUUAAGCAGCGCCCCUUGCAGAAUCCACCAUUAUUGAUUUAUUUUUUGGCUGUUUAAUGUUAAUAAUUUCAUGAAGCACCUCCCGUUGGAGGUGGUCUAACACUAAGAAGCUGCAGAAAUGAAUUACUAAAGGAAUUCUGAUAAAAGACAAAUGGAACAGGAGUUUAGGAUUUUGGAGUAAAGAGAAUAAAUGUGUGAAUUGUUUUUGCUAUAGAGAGGAUAUAAGAAUGUAAAUGUUGGGUGUCUCAUUAUAGAAGCUUGGAACAUAAGUAGCAAUACUGGUCUUUUGUUAACUCUCUCUACCACAAGUAUCUUCUCUAUAUUAGUUUUACACUCUCAUAUAUCACAAAACUGGUCUUCCCUUCUCUGAUAACCUACACAGCUGAAAAACAAGAUAUGCAAAAGAUAAUUCACAUCUAAAAGGUUUGAAAAAGAAACCAACAAUGGGAAGAACGUAGUUUUAACAAAGGCUCGUGACGGGUCGGGUCGGAUAAUUUGGGUUAGGUAAUUUUCGUUGUUUGGAUAGUUUGGAAUUUGAGAAAUGUUAUCGAUAAUAACCAAAAUAUUUAACGGUUUGGUUUGGCUAUCGGGUUUUUCGGUUAUUUUUCUUUGUUACUGAAAUUAAAUGAAUAGUUUAGAUUUUUAAUUAAUUUGGUUAAUUAGUAAAUGAGGUCAAUUAUUUCGGUUAAGUUGGGUAAAUUCAGUUAAUUCGAUUUAUUUGGUUUGGUAAGAUCGGUUAAUUUUGGGUAAAACAGAUGAGUUGGUUAUAUCAGUUCGGUUAGUUUGUCUAAUUUCAUGUAAUUUGCUUAAAUUCUGGUAACCAUCGGUACCGAUCCAAACCAAACUGAUAACCGUUCAUUUCUCUCUCUCACUCGAAACCGUACCAAAAAUCAAAAUCUUGGUUCGGUCCGCUAUUUUUGGUUCGGGUAAUAAUCCCAUGGCUAAUUUUAAGUUCUCUAGAAAUGAAAAUCAAAUGGAUUUUUGUUUUAUUUAGGGUCAAAACUGAAGUAUUUUUUUACUUAGAGUUAAAAAAAUGUUUUUUGUGCAAACUGUUCCUUUUCUAAUCAAGAACUAAUUUACAGCUUCCGCCGCUCUGGCUCGCUUGUUUGUCGUCGUCCGGUAGGGAUGUUAAAAACAGGUAAAAACCCAUCGGAUACCAUAAACUCGUAUUUUUAAUAGGGUGUUCGAACCCGUUUUUUAGUUAUAAAAAAUAUGGGUUUUUAAUGGGGGAAAAUGUCAUAAAAAUCUCAAACUUUCAAUUUUGGAACAAUUUAGGGGGGUGUAUUGAACUGCAUAUUUUAGGAGAUUUGGUGGGAUUUUAAUAUUUUAGAAUUUUGAGAUAUUUGAGUGUGGUUUGAAAAGAUUUGGGUUAUUUGUUAGAGAUUUGGUGAGAUUUGGUUAUUGAAUUUUAAGUGACUUUAGGAUAUUUAUGGAUAAUCUCAUCAUAUGAUUAUGGUGAUUAUUAAUCAAUUCUUCCUUCUUUUCUGAUUUCAGUGGUUAUGCAAUGCCGAUAAGUCAUGUCAUGAACCUCGUUUACUGAAUUCAAUAUGAAAUUGUGUCCACAAAACUGAUCUUUUGAUCUCUCAAUUUCUUCAAGGAUUUCUUUGUGUCACGACAACUAUAACAUUUGAAAACGUCAACCAAGAAAUUAACCCAUCAAUACAACUCCAUUAAUUAAAACCCUAAAAUUGACAAGCUUUAAUCCUGAGUUUGUGAAAACUAACACAAGGCACGAAAACCCAAAUGCUUUCAUUAACGAGAAUUGAAGAAGAAGACGCAAAUACUUUCAUUAACCCAAAUACUUUGCUCAGCCAUUUUUUUCCACCAUUUUUUUCGGUCAGUUAUAUUUGAGAGUGAGAGAGAAAGAGAUAAAGCAUAGAAGAGAGAUGAUUUAUGAUUACAUUUUUUAAAUCUUUCAAAGUUUCACCUAUAAAGGUGUGAUUUGUCAGGCAUAUAUUUUAACUAAAAAUGUUAGAAAAGUCUCCUAGAAUCACAUUCAGUAGUUUUUAAAAGAAACUUUGUGAUAUUUUGAAUAACAGUGUACUUGAAAUGAAAUUUAUAAUGAUUGAUUGAAUAACAAGAGAUUGUGAAUGAUUUCAAAUGAUUUUUUUAUAAAUUACAUAUUCAAUAACAUAGGAUUUUAGAAGAUUUUUUAAAAUGACCAAUUGAAUAACAUGGGAUUUUAAGAAUACUUUCAAAUCUCCUAAAAUAGGCAGUUCAAUACACCCCCCUUAAUCCUGAACUUCCAAGAAGUCAUUUUAAUCACAAAGUUUAUAUUGACAUUUCAGUAAAAUAGGUAAUUUUCAUUGACUUCGCAGAUUUAAACACGAGGUUCGAUCUCACUUAAAAUUGUGAAGACGGGUUUAACUAUCUGUGAGUUGCUUCCGUUAGCCUAAAUGACCACAUUUUUAAACCGAAAACUACGUUGUUUAACAAAUUGAAGAAACUAAAUCUCCAAAUCGAUUCAUAAUUCACGAAUCUAAAUCUCUAACUCUAGAAAAAUCCACAAUUUAUCUCUACCUCUUGUUAAAUGGUUGCCCGUGGAUGAAGAAAGCGACUACUAACGUCGUUUUGUCGUUUAAAAUCAUGGUCGUUUAGGCUAAACAAAAGUAGUUAUUAGAUAAUUAACCCAUCUUCAAGUUUUUAGCAGAGAUUAAACAUCGUACCUAAAUCAGUAAAGUCAACAAAACGUAGUUAUUUUGCAGAUAAUUCAACACAAAUUUUAUUAUUAAAAUGAUUUUUAAAGUUCGGGAUUAAAUAUUCCCCAUAUUUACAUUUUUCCGUUUUUAAUGGACAGGUAUCCGAAAUAUUAGAGUCGUAAAUAGGUCUACCCAAGUAAGUUUAUGGGGUUUUUUUUCAACACAUCAAUUGAAACGACACCUUCAAGCAAAAAAACAAAACGAAACCUUCUCGUUCUUUCUUCUUCCCCUCGAUUCCACUGAGUUCUUCGUCCGCCAUUGUCCGGUAUUGCUGCUUCGUCUUCAGUUGUCUUCAAUUUCAGUUGUUUGCAUAUGAGUCUUCUUUCUCCGCCAUUGCUGGCCACGGAUUGAGCUUUAUCUCAAAGUGGGUUUUACGGAUUUUGGUGAGUCUUGUUCUAAAAUUCGAUUUUGGAUUAUGAGAAUUCGAUUUUGGAUUGAAGCUCUUUCAUUGUUGCAUUUCGUUGAUGGCUUUUGAAUCUUAGCUACUGAGUGAGCAGUGCCCAUUUGUGUUUGGUUGGGAUAAACAAUUCGUCGUGUGUGUUAGAUGAUCUUAAGAUUGGUCUUGAUUAUUUAUUAUUGAUAUGACAAGUCUACAGGUGUAUGAAUCUUCCUUUUUGUGUACUAACUAAUGUUUCUUUGUGUCUACUGAAUCUUCCUUUAUGAAAUUCUUCUUCUUUUGUUGUUUUUGCUUAUGAAUCACUUAUGAAUUUUCCUCUCUACUUCUCUCUGCAACUAUUUACUAAAGUCGUUGGGAUCAAAAGAUGCUAGCUUUGCAUGUGUAGAUGUAGAAUUACAAUUAGACUCUUGUCUUUUUCGUUUUGUUUAGGGUUUAAUAUCAUUUAAAGACUCUUGAUUUUGAUGUUUUGGUUUGUAACAGGACAGUGCAGCGAUUGUUAUAGAGCAACCGAAGAGAUCUGAGGCAACCCUUUUCUCCUCUGGUUAGUUCUUGUAAAACCCUUUUCUCUUCUGGUUUGUGUUGUCUGGCUUGUGUUGAUGGCUUUUGAAUCUUAGCUUAGGUUCCCUAUAAAGACAUGUAGAAAAAAAGUCUGAUUCUAAUUCAUUUUCGGCAUUAGAAUUAGCUACUAAUGAUUUUUAUCUUUGUUGGAGAUUAGAUAAGUACUGUAGCAGAACAAAUGAUUUUUAUCUUCUGUGAGUAUGUGUCUGAUCAUUAAGCAGUAGAAUUUGCGUGAAGAAUCUCUGAGAACAUUGCUGGAUUUAGCUAGGUGGUUCUUAGUAUGAUGAAUUUAGGAACAUAAUUGUUCUGUUGCUGCGUUGCCUUGAUAAAAGAUUAGUCUAGUUAGUGCUUACUUGUUCCCAUUAGUCUACUUGUGGACACAAUUACAUAGAUUCAGCUAUUAGUUAUGUGUAUACCUUUGUUAUGGCAUGUUAUAGAGAAAUACCUUUGUUACAGUUACAGUUACAGUUACUAGAAAUACCUUUGUUACAGUUAUGUGUAUACCUUUGUUAUGGCAUGUUAUAGAGAAAUACCUUUGUUACAGAGAAAUACCUCGUCACUUCCACAUGGUUGUUGGGUUUGUUCUGUUUUUGUCGAAACCUGGUUUAACCUUGAGGCUAUAUUGUCAUUGAGGAUUUGAUUUGUGUUUUUGGAUUUAUAAACUCUCUUUGACAAGGAUUUGAUUAGUGUUUAGUAACAAGAAUGUGUCACUGUUUCAGCACUUGCAUUUCUCUGUGUUCUCGUCUUUCCUCCACACCACAUGUUCGAUGAAAUUACUCAACGAUGUCAAAACCUCACUUGUUUCUAAAAUCUUGCAGGGUACGGGUAAAGUAAUUGAUUUUGGGCUUAAUUCUGAUUUGGGUUCUUACGUGUAGUCCUCUCACAAGUCAGCAUGCUUCUGGUUUCGCCUGCUUGUAGAGGUGUUAACCUUCAGACCGUAGAUCCAAAGCUAAUUAAUAUUUCCGCCAAAGGAUCUUAUGGAAGUUGCUUUCAGGUUUCCAUUUCAUCUCCUUUAACUUUCAUCUUGAUGAUUCCAAUCCUGAGGUUUUAAAGUUUCAUUAUUUUUUUUUUUAAUUUAUAUAUGCAGAUUCCUCGGUCAAUCCUUAAAAGAGAGUGUGGGAUUAGGUUAGGAACCGUUGUUUGUUUCAAUCAGAAGCCUAUACAGCACACAAGUUUCAAGAAAAGGCAUGUAUCUACGCAGAAUGUGGAUCUUCCUCCUAUUUUACCAAAGAACAAGAAAAAACCGUAUCCUGUUCCUUUUAAGCAAAUUCAGGAAGAAGCUAGGAAAGAUAAGAAACUUGCUCAGAUGGGCAUAGAGAAACAGUUAGAUCCGCCCAAAAAUGGAUUGCUAGUUCCCAAUCUUGUUCCUGUAGCUUCUCAAGUAAUAGAUAAUUGGAAACUGUUGAUCAAGGGUUUAGCACAGCUUCUCCAUGUUGUUCCUGUCUUUGCUUGCAGUGAAUGUGGGGCGGUUCAUGUGGCUAAUUCUGGUCACAAUAUUAAGGAUUGCAAUGGUCCAACAAAUUCACAGCGGCGUGGUUCUCAUUCAUGGGUCAAGGGUACCAUCAAUGAUGUUCUCAUUCCUGUUGAGUCGUACCACAUGUAUGACCCUUUUGGGCGACGCAUAAAGCAUGAAACUCGGUUUGACUAUGAUAGAAUCCCAGCACUUGUUGAGCUAUGUAUUCAGGCUGGAGUUGAUAUCCCAGAGUAUCCUUGUCGUAGAAGGACACAGCCAAUCCGAAUGAUGGGGAAGAGAGUGAUCGAUCAUGGUGGAUAUGUUAGAGAACCUGAUAAGCCUCAGACAUCAUCAUUAUCCUCUCCACUAGCCGAGCUUGACACACUUGGUGCUUGUGAAAGGUAUCCACCUCCCACACCAGAAGACAUACCUAAGAUAGCACAGGAAACAAUGGAUGCUUAUGAAAAAGUAAGAUUAGGGGUGACAAAAUUGAUGAGGAAAUUCACAGUGAAAGCAUGUGGAUAUUGUUCUGAAGUGCAUGUAGGACCGUGGGGACAUAGCGUGAAGCUGUGCGGAGAGUUCAAACACCAAUGGAGAGAUGGGAAGCAUGGAUGGCAAGAUGCUCUUGUGGACGAAGUCUUUCCUCCAAACUAUGUAUGGCAUGUGAGAGACCUUAAGGGAAAUCCCCUUACCGGAAAUCUCAGGAGGUUUUAUGGUAAAGCCCCUGCUGUGGUUGAGAUUUGUAUGCACAGUGGAGCACGGGUUCCUCAACGCUACAAGGCAAUGAUGAGGCUUGACAUCAUCGUUCCUGAUUUACAGGAAGCUGACAUGGUCGCAUAGGUUCUUGGUCAUGUUCAUUGUAGAAGCUGGCCUUUAUUUUAUAAUGAUAGUCAACUUGACAUAUUAUGUUGUUUAACAGAUUCGACUCGCGAUAAUGAUUGGACAUGUCCGAAUUGUGGUAAUGUAAACUUCUCAUUCAGAUUUGUAUGUAACAUGACGAAGUGCAACACUCUAAAGCCUGGUUCCCAGGUUUGUGCUGUUUCUUUUUGUUUCAGUUUGACUGUUUCACAUAGGCUACAUAUACAUUGUUAUGAAUUCUAGAGCUUGCUUGGUUUAUUCGACCAUCAAAAAAGUGAAAAACAGCUUGCUUAAUCAUUAUAGAUAGCUUACUUGGAUAGAUCUUGGGAUUAUUUUCUUAAGCUCUGACAUUUAACGUCUUAUAAUUGCAGCAGAUUGGGAACUGAGAUAAAAUAUCUAGUUAGCCCCUGAAAAUUCCUAAAUGCUGCAGCUUACUUGAUGAUCUUUGAGACUGACAUAAGGAUAUGUGUUGUUGUUUACCAGAAAAAAAUGCACCGGAAGGGAGUCAGAAGUGUGAUAAUCGGGGAAAUGUAAACUAUCCAUUAAGGAGCAAAUGCAACAGGCAGAACUAUGGAGCUGAUAAACCAGGGGACCAGUCAAAUGAAUCUCCUUCCCAUUCACCAGACGAGAACGAUCAGGUUUGUCUAAUAAACUGUUUACCUCUGAAACUCGUAUAUGUAACAACUGGUGUUGUUUUUAUGCCUUGUGAAAGCAACAGUUAUUUGUUUAUGAAAUACUUGACCCUGAUUGCGUUAAAAAUGUUUAAACCCAAUUUAGAGUUGGGUGUCUCUGAACGGUGUGUUUCAAUUUGUGGUCUGUUCCAGUGAGCCGUAGACAUGUUUGGGGGUUGAGAAGGGUGAGUCUGAUCCAGCGGGUGUCAUAAUGUCAGUCAAUGUCGCGUCAGGUCGUCCAUGUUGAAGCCGUCUCGUCAAAUUGCUUCAAUGCAUUUGUCUCUUUACAUACUCUUGGGUGGCUAUGUUGUAUUAACAAUGCAUAAAUUGUUUAAUCUACUAUGUGGUCGUCGUGUGGAUCUUGUCUUCCUAUAGAAUUGUCCUUCAGGUCGUCUCGUCCAUACUGUUUACAUCCUAAUCUUAGUUGGCCUUGGAUAGCUCAUAAUUAACUGUACUAUAUAUCAACGUUUAAGGUGUAUUCUCGUCAUUUCUUGUGUCUAGCAAGCAUUUUCUUUCGUAAGUUAUUUUUGUUCUUGUAUUGAUACUGUAAGUAAACUUAACAUAUAUAUGGGAAGCUUUUGGUCAUAUUAUAGUCUUGUUCCAUUAUAUGAUUUCUUACAAAACCACAUCACAAACACAAUUAUUUACAUCAACAAAAAGCAGAAAGCUCAAAUUUCUGUCAAGUAUAGCAGUUUGUGAUGCAGGUUUCAGCUACGGCAAAAGAACACUGUGAUAGUGUCGUAUCAGAAUCAAAAAUAGCAAAAAGUGCUACUGUUUUAUGUAUUCUAAUCGACAUGAGAAGGAACAAUUGAAGGGAAGAAAAGAAAACCUUCAUUUUUUUCCAUGGAGAAUGUAGGGUUUAAGAUUCGUCUAUGACGAACCCAAUCAAGACCAUUCACGAAGAGAAGUCUAUUACCAGCAAGUUUAAGGACCUCUGGUUUUGUUUUUGAUUUAGCAAAACAACAAAAGUUGUUCGACUCUGAACAUAGGAAAAAAAGAGAGACAAAGUUAGAUUAAUUCUAAGUAAGCAAGUACUCAAGAAGAGGCUUUGAGCACUUACUUAUCAGUAGUUGUAAUCCAAUCAAUAUGACAUUUUUGAGUAUGCGCAUUGCAUUUUGUAUGUGAAGGUUCGCUGAUACAAAACUUGUACUUUAGUAAUGCUUUGAAGACCUAACCAAACAGAAGUCAGAUUUUUGGUUUUUCUUUUCUUUACCUUCUGAUCGCAGACCAACAUACGUACGUAGACUAUUUAGGAAGCCAUAAUCGCGAAAGAUAAAACUCCUCUGUUCUUCAACCUUAAAAACAACGCAUCAGAAUUUAAAGUAGAGAUAAAUCAUGGUGUUAUCAAUUAUCAUCAAGCAAAAUCCGUGAAAUAAUAGCUUUAAAAUGCAAGGACAUAACUAUCAUAACAAUUAGGUUUGUAAAUAUAACAUGGUCGAAUUGAAGUGUGACGAUUGAAUUAAACCGAAACGGAAUUAAAAAAGAAACAGUAGGACAAACCAAACUACACAUUGCUUUUCCUCUGUUUUUGAGACAUAUGAAUCUUUUUAUUAUACUAACCACAGUUGUGUUCCAACCCCAGCAUGAUCUCAUGCACCUAACAAAUAAGAAAACUCAAAAGAUGUUUAAAUUUUCAUAUCACCAGUGGCUUUGAACUCCUAAACAGCAAAUAAAUCAUGUAGCACAAUCGAAAGUUGUAAUCUCUUAAAACAAAAAAAAAAAGACGAAGAAAUUCAUAACAUAUAAAUACUAAAAUUUACGAAAACACUAAACAGAAAACACUUUACAAAUACUGAUUGUUUGAAACUCCAUUUUUUUGUGGUAAUAAUAAAGUAUGGUGUGAAGUGAAGAACUGAUGUGAAAUAAAUAAAGAUAUUUAGUGACAUGAAAUUAAAGUAUGAAGUGAAGUAUUGAUGUAAAAUAAAGUUUUGGUUUGACAUGUUUGAUGUGAAGGUGUAACAACCCGCCCGGUGAGACCCCCUGCUACAACCCGGCAACUUGAUGAGUGGUGUGUAUGCUAUGAUGUAAAAUAAAUGGUGUGAAUACUUGAUGAGUGGUGUGUGUAAAUAUGUGUGAAAGAAAGAUGCUAUGUAAUAUUCCUUGAGUCAUGUACUAUAAAUACCAAGCUUGGCGAGGGUUGUUCACCAUAAGCUGAAGUGUCUAAAAUCGUAAGAGUUCUUUAUAUCCUCUUGAUAGUGUUCUUGUAUAAUGAAAGCUUUCUCUUAUAUAAACUAUAUUCUCUUCCAUAAACACUUAAUCUCUUUCAUAUACCUGUUUCAUAUAUUUCGAUCCUAUAAACCUUAUAUGUGGUUGUACCUACUAUGUGUUUGUAAUUUUGGUAUCAGAGCGAUGGUAGUCUAAGCUUUCACUCUUUGAUAUCUAAGAGGUAGUAUGCCAUACUAUUGUUUUCUAUUAUAUAUGCUUUGCAUAGAGAGUAUGCUUUGUGGUUGCCAUUUUUAAUGGAUCCUCCACAUCAGAAAUCUUGUUAAGCUGGUAUAAAAGAAUUAAAGAAAUGAUCUGUGAGGUCAUAAUGCUUGAAGUACCUUGAGGCUUAUUUGAUGUGAGUUAUUUGCCUCAGUUUGCAUAGCUUGUACCUCAUGAUUAUUUUCUUUAUAUUCUUAGCACUUAAAAGUCCCAUGAAAACAGCUUAUGGAUUGUUACUACUUUGAAAAUUGAUGGAUUGUUACUACUUUGAAAAUUGAUGGAUUGUUACUACUUAUGGAUUGUUACUACUUUGAAGUACCUUGAGGCUCAUUUGAUGUGAAUUGUUUGCCUCAGUUUGCAUAGCUUGUACCUCAUGAUUAUUUUCUUUAUAGUCUUAGCUCUUAAAAGUCCCAUGAAAACAACUUAUGGAUUGUUACUACUUUGAAAAUUGAGAAGAAGUUUAUAGCAUUCUGUCUUGGUUUCUGGUUUCUAUAUACAUUAUGGAAAACAAACCAACUUUUGCCAAAACACCCUCUUUUCGAAAAUCAACCUCUAAAAAAGUAGAUUAUCUACAUGAAAUAGAAUACAUAAGUUAUGAGAGUAAAGUGCCUAUUACCCAAUUUCCUUUGCUUAAUCCUUACAAAGCCUUCUCAAAACCAAAUUCUACUUUCCCAAAAUUCAUUAGACAAGUGUUUGUGCCUAACAAACAUACUACAAAAGAACUUGUUCUGGCUUCUCUUCUAGAACAAUUUUUGGUCACUGCAACAAAAGCGGAGCAAAUGGUUCCUCUCUGUCUUAACGAAGGGAUGAUUCACCAUUGGCAAAACCUUGGCUACACACAUCUGCGUUAUGGAGCAAUACGCUAGCGUUAACUCUUCAUGGAAGAAAAGGCUUACCGGUAGUAACAAGAGUCGCUCUCCUCGAUACCAUAUAUAAAAAGAGUACCAAUAUGCUUGCAUCGCAACCAUUCAGAUGACAUUAAAUGCUGUCACUAUCUUUGAGACUCUUUUUCCAAACUUUAAAGUGGCACUAGAAGAUCCAAAAAUUUGUCGAAACAUGCAGAUCAAACUUCAGAUUACUGGCGCUGCACAAAUUGGAAACAUGUAUGCAGCGACACCGCAUCAUCAAAUGACAUAUAGAGUCCAAAAUCAUGCAAUGGAUUUUAAGUCUCCCUCGAGACACUGAAGAUGCCUUACUCAUUAAACUUGAGUCACAACAUAUUCUGUCAUACAUCCACAUUCCAAGGCAAAUCCCAAGAAGCGAAUUAGUCAAGCUACUUCCGGAAUCAUGGGUAACUAAUUAUGAAAAAAUCCAUGAAAGAAGUACACCAAUACAAUCAAUGGAUUCCUCUAUCCAUAGAAGAAAAUAUGGAGCUGUAGGAAUUGCAUUCAAGGCACAAGAAGGAAAGUCAAGACCGGCGGCCUUUUGCACUGAGAUCAACAUGAUCCCUCCUGCAUGCGAAAAACAAUUCAUGGAGAUAGAUUCACGUCUUCGUGGCGUUCCAAUCUCAUCUUUUAAUUUGCUUGGAAAUCCUGUCUACGCAUUCAUUGAUGACUCUGGCCAUAAAUUCUUUGAUAUUUGUGACUGUCAAAAAUGUCUAGAAGACGAUUCUGAUGAAGAUGAAAUUCCGAGGCGAAAAAGAGGAAAGAAAUUUUCACAACAAUUCCUCAAAGAAAGAUACGAAUCAGGAGAUCCUCAGGUCGGACUUCUUGGUGAACCAAGUAAUGGAAAAUUAGAAUACUAUGUUUUGUAUUCGAAUAGCUCGACCCCAGCAACCCCGGACAGGGAAAAACUACCAUUGACCUACAUGUUUGGCCCUCAUCCUAGUCACCAUUUUAAUCAAAAGAGUUUGAAGAAAACAGUAUGAAAUACUCGUGGAAGAUCAAGAAUCCAAAAAUAAAGAAGCCAUAUAGAAUAGUGAAGCAAGUCAGUGCGGCCGAAGCAACUUUGAAUUGGCAAUCAGAAAAUACAACAACCCAAAACAAUCGCUGGAGCCAAAUCGACAAAAAGGUAACCAUUCUGGAUCUCUCUAUAUAGGAGAUAACAAAAAACAUGUCCUCCCUCCAUCAAGAACUCCUCCAGUUGGCAACUACUGUAUCCAUAAACUCUCCUCUUAUGACCCAAAAAGAAUCCGAGCUAAAAACCCUUAAAGCCCAACUAAAGUCCUUACAAAACUAACCACAAACACAAGCCCAAAUGCAUUAUGAUCUUUUUGCACCGUACCUUAUAUAUACACCAUCCUACACAGCCCAAUCACAACCCCUAUCUUUUUCUCAUCCUUUUUACCAACACAUUUCACCUCAGAACAACCUAUCACUAAAAACAAAAAACAUACUGAAAAACCUACAUCGCCAAAAAUCCAUAACCAACCAUCCACAUCCAAAAAUCACCCAGAGGAGAGUCCAUCACAAUUGAUGGUGGAAUAAGCCAAUCUAAUCAUCACUUAUCUCCAAAAAGAAGCAAAACAAAAGGGAAGUUCCAAAAAGAAAGUAGUGAUAACAAAAAUGGAAGAACCACAAGAUGAUUCAGAAGAAGAAGUCUUCGUCCAAACUUUCAUGAUGGCGGAACCAACUGUUGAGAACGAGGACAUUGAGAGCGAUGAUGGACGUAUAUAGGAAGAGGAAUACGACGCUUUUAUGGGGCAUAUCCACAACAAAUUUCUUGGCACGUGGGAACAUUACACUCACCAAGCAGGAGAAGAAUACCUUAAUAUGAAGUGCUGCUCCUUCAAGACAAAAGAUUAGGAGAAGCAUUAUGAUCGAAUGUCAAAGCGAUUCUAUGCCCUGAAUGGAAUAGAUGACGUUAAUCUUAAACAGAAAUACUUGAAUUCCCUCCCAGAACCACUUGGGACUGAGACAUCAAGAAUCCUAUCAUUUAAGAACAUGCAUCUCAACCAAAUUGCGCUUGGAGAAAUCUACCAGCUUUCCCUCUCAACACUUGAAAGGCUAUGCAAUUCCCAUCAGUUCUUCAAACAACUCCAUGAACAGGGGAAGCUCCUCGGAAAAGCAUGUGACCGCCCAGAACUUUCCAUCAAAUGCAGAAAGAAGAAAUGCACCUGCUCUACAGGCUUCAGAACAGAGAAAAAGUUCAAAAGAAAAUGGCAUAAGAUAUAUCCACAAUAUUCAAUAAAGAAGAAGUGGAAGUUCCUUAGGAAGAAAACAAAAGAGGAGUCAAGAAAUCAGAUAGAUGCUACAUCUGCAAGAAAAAUGGGCACUAUACGAAACAAUGCGCAAACAAGAAAAGGAUAAAUAAUCUUCUUGGAUACGUGGCGCAAACUGAAGAAAUUGAUGACUCAGAUAUUGAAUCCAUCUUUUCCCUUGAAGAUGAACCAACAGACGAUACAGACCUUGCAAUGGGGAUAGAAUAACAAGAUGAAUAUUCAGAAUCUAAUAUUGAUGAUGAAGAAGACCCAGAUGACCAAUUGAUGUUGUUCGACUUAUACACAUUUGAUGCUUGCAGAGUGGAACAAUCGGAUCAUGGAGAACUGGCCUAUCUAUCUCAACCAUCACCAAAUGCAAAGAUUUACAUCCUUACCACCAAAUACGACAAGCCCAUACCUGCCAUUAAAUACUUUGACACCGGAGCCGCAUCCUCUAUCAAAAAACCAAAUAUCCUUCCAUAUUUACAUUGGAACACAUGCUCUGUCUCAUUUUAAGCAGCUAAUGGACAAACAUUCCACAUCUCCCUCAUCAGUAAUCCGAUCUACAUCCAACUCUUUCCAGGAUACAUGAUCAAAACAAAAGUAAAUAGGAAAUGACUUCAUCCUUGGAUUUGAUGUUCUUCAUGGCCUCCAAAGACUUUCAUGUCAUCCAAAAGGACUUAAGCACAAAAAUCAACUACUACCCUGGACGACAAUGUCUCAUCUUUGCCCUAUAGAGAUCUUAUGUCCCAUCAAAGAAGAGAUUGCUAACACCUCCUGUUUUGCCUCUCAUUCUGGGUUCCUCACAAAAUGCUCGACACUAUUAUGGAAGAAUCCAAAGUUCUUUAUACCUUCACCUUUCAAGAAAAACAAAGAUAUCAACCCUACCAAGGCUAGUCAUCCAGGAAUGAAUCCAUACCAUUACAACCUUGCUAUCGAAGAAGUUUAUUAGCUACAGAAAGAAGAUGUCAUUGAAAAGACCGAUCCACCAUGGGCAUGUGAAGCAUUUUAUGUCAACAAAAGAGCAGAACAAGUGCGUGGAAAGCUAGGACUAAAGACUUCUUAAUUACUAACAAUUUGUGAGGAUUUCUAAAGAGCUACUUAGGAGUUUUUUUUUUCAUAAUUUCAUAAUACAGAUUUAUAUGUGUGCAUCGCAUUUGGAAUUGAAUCGUGUACAUAUACAAUAACUAGACAUGUAUAAGUAUUAUUUACAAAAAAAUGAAGCGAUAUACUGGGGCUAAAUAAGACCGAUUUUGCCACACCAAAUAAAUAGCAAAUACAAAGCUAGAGUGAAAAAAAAGUUCUAAUUCUUAAUGAUCUACACCACAGUUUAUACUUGUAAUUAAUGCAAUUAUUUAUUUGCAGUAAUUAUAUCAGAAAAACCAUUAAAAAUGUUAAAAGUUUUCCAAAUAUGUGUAUAAGGUUAUAAAUAUAUACACAAAUUAUCUUUGUAUGUGUAUAAAACUUUAUAUAUCUUUCAUAAAUAGCGUAAAAAUAACUUAUAAAAACCUUUUAAAAUCCUUAUAAACUCUUUUAAAAACCUUAAAAAACCUUAUAAAACUUCUAAAAACGAUUUAAAACCAUUUUAAACAUUUUAAAAUAUUUGUAUCGAAUCUCCCAGUAGUUAUUAUAUAGAAGUACCUUAUAACCUAUAUAAAGAGAGAGAGAAAGAGAGAGAGAGAGAGAGAGAGAGAGAGAGAGAGAGAGAGAGAGAGAGAGAGAGAGAGAGAGAGAGAGAGAGAGAGAGAGAGAGAGAGAGAGAGAGAGAGNN